RNAcentral lists this ribosomal RNA (253 nucleotides) under uncultured bacterium. RNAcentral describes it as "partial 16S ribosomal RNA". It matches the Rfam family "Bacterial small subunit ribosomal RNA", at positions 524 to 776 of the family's 1533-position model. The record is from RNAcentral.
UACGAAGGGGGCUAGCGUUGCUCGGAAUCACUGGGCGUAAAGCGCACGUAGGCGGAUCUUUAAGUCAGGGGUGAAAUCCUGGAGCUCAACUCCAGAACUGCCUUUGAUACUGGGGAUCUCGAGUCCGGGAGAGGUGAGUGGAACCCCGAGUGUAGAGGUGAAAUUCGUAGAUAUUCGCAAGAACACCAGUGGCGAAGGCGGCUCACUGGCCCGAUACUGACGCUGAGGCACGAAAGCGUGGGGAGCAAACAGG